Molecule: long non-coding RNA, 702 nt
Filed under: Homo sapiens (human)
Lineage: Eukaryota; Metazoa; Chordata; Mammalia; Primates; Hominidae
Description: HSALNT0319653
Source: RNAcentral
GCAGAUCCUCUUGUUACGGUCUCAGUGGAGGAAGUCAGUACCAUCUCUUUCAUAAAUCUCAAUCUAUUUGAGGACAUCCUUCAACUUUAUCUUUAGAGAGAAUGGCCACAUUCUGCUGGCUGUGACCCAGUCUCUCCAGAGCCCAGCCGUGGACAUAAAAUUUGGAAAAGGGCCUGGCGAAUGCCACGUCUAGAGAAGGAUCAUUUCCUGGGGCUUUUGGGUUAUGUUCCUAUUAAUAUAAAUCAUCGUCUCCAUUUCAGAAGAAGAACCAAAACACAUCUGAUCUGCUCUUAAAGGAAACUCAAUUGUGACAAGCAGAGGAAACUAAAGAGAUCUGAGCUGAAAAGGAUCAUACCAGAUUUAUUUCAUUGCUGUAGAGCCAGUCCCACCACACUGCCUGGGCACAUAGAAGGCAUGUUUUGUUAAUUUAUGCAGUCAAUACAAACUAAUUGAUUGCAGAUCUUCAAUCCUUUGUAAUUCCAAACUCCCAAAAUGCUCUGAAAACCAAAAGAUUUUCUGUAAGCUGGCAGCAAGCUCAUUGAACUCACCGGAACGGAUGCAUGGCAGUCCCCAGUCUUUAUGAUCUGCCUUAAUUGUGACUACAGUCUUCUCCCCUCAUCCAUAGUUUCUUUUUCCGAGGCUUCUGUUACCAAUGGUCAACAACAGUCCAAAAAUAUUAAAUGGAAAAAUCCAGAACUAAAA